UACGUAGGGUGCAAGCGUUAAUCGGAAUUACUGGGCGUAAAGCGUGCGCAGGCGGUGAUGUAAGACAGAUGUGAAAUCCCCGGGCUCAACCUGGGAACUGCAUUUGUGACUGCAUCGCUGGAGUACGGCAGAGGGGGAUGGAAUUCCGCGUGUAGCAGUGAAAUGCGUAGAUAUGCGGAGGAACACCGAUGGCGAAGGCAAUCCCCGUGGCCUGUACUGACGCUCAGUGCACGAAAGCGUGGGGAGCAAACAGG
This 254-nucleotide ribosomal RNA is filed under the name uncultured bacterium. RNAcentral's name for it is "partial 16S ribosomal RNA". It matches the Rfam family "Bacterial small subunit ribosomal RNA", at positions 524 to 776 of the family's 1533-position model. The record is from RNAcentral.